GCUCAGAUUGAACGCUGGCGGCAGGCCUAACACAUGCAAGUCGAGCGGUAACAGGGGAAGCUUGCUUCUCGCUGACGAGCGGCGGACGGGUGAGUAAUGUAUGGGGAUCUGCCCGAUAGAGGGGGAUAACCACUGGAAACGGUGGCUAAUACCGCAUAAUCUCUUAGGAGCAAAGCAGGGGAACUUCGGUCCUUGCGCUAUCGGAUGAACCCAUAUGGGAUUAGCUAGUAGGUGAGGUAAUGGCUCACCUAGGCGACGAUCCCUAGCUGGUCUGAGAGGAUGAUCAGCCACACUGGGACUGAGACACGGCCCAGACUCCUACGGGAGGCAGCAGUGGGGAAUAUUGCACAAUGGGCGCAAGCCUGAUGCAGCCAUGCCGCGUGUAUGAAGAAGGCCUUAGGGUUGUAAAGUACUUUCAGUCGGGAGGAAGGCGUUGAUGCUAAUAUCAUCAACGAUUGACGUUACCAACAGAAGAAGCACCGGCUAACUCCGUGCCAGCAGCCGCGGUAAUACGGAGGGUGCAAGCGUUGAUCGGA
RNAcentral lists this ribosomal RNA (536 nucleotides) under uncultured bacterium. RNAcentral describes it as "bacterial SSU rRNA". It matches the Rfam family "Bacterial small subunit ribosomal RNA", at positions 22 to 549 of the family's 1533-position model. The record is from RNAcentral.